Mesocricetus auratus (golden hamster) is the source of this 4094-nucleotide long non-coding RNA. RefSeq lists it as uncharacterized. NCBI's taxonomy places the organism in Eukaryota, Metazoa, Chordata, Mammalia, Rodentia, Cricetidae. The record is from RefSeq and is a predicted model, not a curated record. The transcript has 2 exons.
UAGCGUGGUCUACAGAGCUAGUUCUAGGACAGUCAGGGCUACACAAAGAAACCCUGUCUUGAAAAAAACCAACCAACCCCCCCCAACUUGUUUUCUUUCUUUACAAACCCCAGGGUGUCCUUCCUUAUGCUCCCUUUUCCCUUCAAUUCUAAAAUCCCCAAUUUGCCAUCCAUGGUGGGGGUCCCAUGGCUAGGCAGAGGCUACCCACUCCUGCAGAGACAGCUGCCUAUAUACAGAGGUCUCUCUUGGUCAGCUGGGCCCUGCAUUUACUACAGGACUUUCAAAAGCAAGCAGCUGGCUCCAGUCCUACUAGCACCAGUCUCAGAAGCUUAAGCCAGUCCCUUAGUUUUGUGGACCCCACCCUUCUGAUUUGCAGAUUGCAAAUAAGUAUGCCUUAUUAGAGUGGAUUACAUCAGUUGAUGCAGGUAACAAAUGAAGCAUGGCACUCAGCAUAGCAAUCCAUACAUUACGGGCUUUCAAAACGGAGUGCAUCCUCCUUCCUUCCCUGUCUGAAAUGACUUUGGGGAGAGAAGGGGAGACGGCUGCUUUCUAGGGCUGUCUCUGGAGAUUUGGGUUCCUAGGUGAAUUUGGCUUGGAGACAAAAAACUGAAAAAAAAAAUGAAAAGUGCAUUGACUGAGAUUCUGACUGGCUCUGCACACAUUCACAUAGUAGAGUGAUCUCGAUAAGUCAUUGAUGGUGGAGUCUGGAUGGCACCCUUGAUGCUGAGGACUUGUGUGUGCAAACUGAUAUGCCCUUGGAAGCCCUUUCAGCUCUGGAGUCCUAUAGACCUUCACAAGCACUGGGAGCCGUUCCACAGACUGCCUCCAAUGGAUUUUUGUUGUUUUCCAGUAGUUCUUAACUCCCAGAGAAGACUCUAUUAAAGAACAAUAAUUCCAAAUGCAUGCACAGAAUUUUUUUAAAAGAGAACGGAGUGCUCAGUUGCUGAUGAGGAUGGGGGAAACAAAGGAUUGAGACAUUCUGAGCCCUCUACAAAGUGUAAUGUGUGGUCAGACCAUCAGUGGGCCUCAUUCCUGACGGGAUCUUCUUUGGCCCAGACAUUCCCCCAUAUAAUGCAGUCUCCAUUACUGCAUAUGAACUCCCACAGCACUCUGCGGCAAACUGAAUUGCAUCUCAGAAUAUUAUCCUCAGUACUUAGCAUUCUGGUUUCACGCCGGAAUGGGAGGUGACAUCUUGGAAGAUCACAAAUGUUAUGGAGACAGAAUGUUUGAGUUCACAUUAUGGCUACUUGUAUUACAGGCAAUUGACUAGAUUUCUUUUAACUUCUGUUUUCUUCUCUGCAGGGCAGUAAUGAUGAUCCUCAUUCUACAAGGUUACUGCGAGCACCAUGAGAAAUAACAUUGGCAUCUUAUUUAUUUAUUUUUUGAGCCGUGAUCUCACUAGGCAGUCAGGCUAUCAGAUUCAGACUCAUUAUGUAGCCCAGACUGGCCUUGAACUAACAAUUUUCCUGCCUCAGCUGGGCUUACAGUCAUAAGUCCCCAUACCCAGCUCAGCUUUUGCCUUCAAGGGAGUGCCUGUUGGAAUUGUUGGUCUGCAGAGGGACAGCUGCUGCUGCAUGUGAAGAUGUGGUGAUCUUUGUGGACAUCCAGGGCACCGCACACUGAUGCUCUGACAACCAGAGCUUGCCUAUUUCAUGUAUUGUUCUCAAGUUGUGCUUGAGAAUCCAACAAGCUAAGUAGCAGAAAGCUAAGUUUCUUUUUAAUUAAAAAACUUAGGUCAGCAUACGAAGUAUUGGGUUUCAUCGUGGCAUUUUCAGACAUUACAUUUUGUCUUCAAUUGUUCUCAACUCCAGUCCCCCUUCAAAUUUUCUACUGUAUGUAUUCUGUGACCCUCUCUAGUUCCCAGUUCCCUUAGGAUCUCUUCAUCCCCUCUCAGGGUCCUCUUUCUGGCUUGUAACCUAGAAAUACAUGCAGAGACAUGCAUAUACAUAUGUAACUUAAGAUGAGGUUGCAUAUAUGGGAGACAACACUAAGUAUAUAUAUUUCUGAAACACUCUUAUUUUGCUAGUUUAUCUACUUACAUCCAUUUUUUGUAACCAUCAUUUAUGAUUUCAUAUUUCUUUGUAUCUGCAUAAGAUUCCAUUUUGCAUAUGUAUGUAUUUUUAACUUGUAAAUUUUGACAAUUUGUACAUAUGAAUGAUGAUUAUUAAUGAAUAUUAGUGAAUUUUUAUUAUUCCAUUACUCCUCAUUACCGUCUCUUCUCCUCCUGCUGGACCCCUUCCCAACUAAACCACCUUUUUUUAAUACCAUAAUUUUUUUUGUGGAAGUGGGUGGCCCAUUGAGUUUAAUUGAGGCUGCUUGUAUGAGCAUGGGUGGGAGUGCUUACUGGGGCACGGGCAACUUCCUAGUGACAACACCACUGAGGAAAAGGCCUCUCUUUCCUCCAGCAACCAUUAACUACCAAUAGCUCCCCAGGGAGGGGUGGGGCCUCAGGAACCCCUCCCUAACCUGUGACAGAAUGUGGACAAUGCUCACUGUUGUGCUGGUAUUAAGUGGGUAACAGCAGUUACCAACAGCUGUGAAUGCACGCGUGAGUACAGCAGCUAGGUCAAAGCUGGAAGGAAGCUGUCCAUAGCACCCUCCCCAUCUUCUAGCUCGUAUGUUCUUUCUGCCUCCUCUUCCAUGAUGUUCCCUGAGUCUCAUUUAGAGCCAAUCACUCAGCAGUUUCCUCAGCACUUUCACUGGCUAAGCAUCUCUGCAGUAACCAUUGUCCACAACAAAAUGAGGCUUCUCUGACCAGGGCUGACACUAGCACUAUAUGAAUAUAAACAUAAAUACUGGGCUGAUAGGAUGGCUCAGCAGGUAAAGGCGCUUGCUGCCAAGCCUGAUGACUUGAGUUCAAUCUCCAGGUCCCACAUGGUAGGAGAGAACUUAUUCCCACAAGUUGUUCUCUCACUCUAAUGCACAUGUUGUAGCAUGUGUGUACCCCUGCCCACAAAUAAUUCAAUGAAACAUUAAUUAAUUAAUUAAUAAAAAUAAGAAAGUAUAAAUUGUUAGAAAGAAAUCCAAGGACAUAACAUUUAAGUAAUUUUCCUCCUAGUGCUCUGUGACCUCCUCAGCUAUGGGCUUUUGACUAGCUUUAAAUUCCCUCUUGUAGAGCAUGUCCAAAUCCAAUCUAUAAGUGGUCAGUUACUGCUGGGGUCCAGUCAGUAUCAGUCCUAGGCUGAAAGAGCCAUCUAUUCUGGACUGAUGUCUUUAGGACUGUGUUUGGAACCAGUCAAACAGCCCCGGGCCUGACCUUGAGUGGGAGAGUGUGGAUCAGGGAAGUCCUAGCUACCCAGUGGCAUUAAGGACAAGACAGAGGCAUCUUGUCAUUUCAGGAGAGCUCUCAGUUAAUACUGGAGACCAUGGUUUUAUUCAAGCAUCCUCUUAAAUGGCUUUCCAAAAGCCAGGGUCCUGGCAGAAGACAUCUAUUAUUAUGUAUAUAGGGCUGACUAGGAAACACUUCCUUUAACCCUAGAGAUGGCCCUCAGACUUUCCGUAAUGGCAUGUCUUCAGACACAUCCCACUAGUCCCCAGGCAUGUCCCACCAGCCCUCAUGAUGGGUUUGGGUCCUAGGUCUAUUGUUACACAAACUAGAAACCAUUCUCUACUGUGGCCAGGCCAUCCAGAGGUAACCAGCUGACACCUAAAAGACAAUAGGAUAUUCGAGCUCCUGGAACUGAGCUGAGGCCUACAUGCAAAAAUAUCAUAUUCAGACUCCAACAAGUUACCCCACAUUAGUCAUGCUACUGUUAUCCCAGUAGCCCAUUUUCCUCCCUCCCUCCCUUCCUCCCUUCCUCCAUCCCUUCCUUCCUUCCUUCCUUCCUUCCUUUCUUUCUUUCUUUCUUUCUUUCUUUCUGGGUAUAAGACUGUCUAUGACUACAUUUUCUUUGUUUAUUAAUCUAUUGAUGAACAUCUAGUUUAGUUCUAUUUCUUGGAUAUUGUGAAUAGUAUAACAGUAAACAUGGAUGGGCAAGUUAUUUCUAUAAUGUGUUAUUGACUUAGAGUCCUUCUGGUGUAUACUCAUUGGUAUAGUUGAGUCAAGUAUAGCUCUAGUUUCAGUUUUUUUAAUUAAAAUUAUUUUAAUAUCCGUA